AUUAAAUUUAUGAAAAACUAAAAGAAAGAAAAAACGUUUCUUCUAUUUUUCCUCUACACUCAUUCCUCUUCAUUCCUAUUUUAUCAUUUUUUUUUUCUUUUUUGUUCUUUUUUAGUCAUGUUCCUCUUCAUUCCUUGUAUUUCUUUAUAGGUCACCAAUCGGAUCCUAUAUUUUUAGGGAUAGUGAAAAAGAGUGGUAAACGUAAAACUUUGAGCUUUUUGAUUGAU
This 227-nucleotide small RNA is filed under the name Arabidopsis thaliana (thale cress). Its description in RNAcentral is "ATSL175490". The record is from RNAcentral. Lineage: Eukaryota; Viridiplantae; Streptophyta; Magnoliopsida; Brassicales; Brassicaceae.